This 71-nucleotide transfer RNA is filed under the name Paederus fuscipes. RNAcentral's name for it is "tRNA-Trp". The record is from RNAcentral. Lineage: Eukaryota; Metazoa; Arthropoda; Insecta; Coleoptera; Staphylinidae.
AAGGAUUUAAGUUAAAUAAACUAGUAGCCUUCAAAGCUACCAAUGAAGUAACCCCCCCCCUUCAAGCCUUG